UAUAAGAAGUUAAAGUGAGGAUCCUUCUGGUGUUUGUAGAAUUGGAAACUUGGAUUUGGUUUGGCCAACCUACCAUACACAAAAAGUUGUGGCACAGUUAUAAGUCUUGCACCGCCCAAAUCUGGAUGGAGAAAAAAUGUGAAUGAAUGAAAAGAAAGGGCUAUCUGGCAAUUAAUUAGCAUGAGAGGAAUUUUUGUAACUCAAGGACUUUGAUUUUGGUUUAACCAUGGUUAGUCUGUUAAAUGCAUGGUCAAAAAGUACUCCUUUUCUUUUCUUCUUUAGAAAAAUGACGUUUUUGCCCCCUCGAGCAGGGUUAGGUAACGUUGGCAACGUUUUAUAAGUUCGUGAAUUUUCAAACUCGACAUUUUGACCUCCAAGUUUGAAAAUGAAUUAUUUGAUAUAUUUGGUA
This is a long non-coding RNA of Cucurbita pepo subsp. pepo (vegetable marrow), 409 nucleotides long. RefSeq lists it as uncharacterized. The record is from RefSeq and is a predicted model, not a curated record. NCBI's taxonomy places the organism in Eukaryota, Viridiplantae, Streptophyta, Magnoliopsida, Cucurbitales, Cucurbitaceae.